RNAcentral lists this signal recognition particle RNA (285 nucleotides) under Peromyscus maniculatus bairdii (prairie deer mouse). RNAcentral describes it as "Metazoan signal recognition particle RNA (ENSPEMG00000004895.2)". It matches the Rfam family "Metazoan signal recognition particle RNA". Rfam says of the family: The signal recognition particle (SRP) is a universally conserved ribonucleoprotein. It is involved in the co-translational targeting of proteins to membranes. The eukaryotic SRP consists of a 300-nucleotide 7S RNA and six proteins: SRPs 72, 68, 54, 19, 14, and 9. The record is from RNAcentral. Lineage: Eukaryota; Metazoa; Chordata; Mammalia; Rodentia; Cricetidae.
UCCGGGCGCAGUGGCGCAUGCCUGUAGUACCAGCUACUCGGGAGGCUGAGACAGGAGGAUCACUUGAGUCCAGGAGUUCUGGGCUGUAGUGCGCUAUGCCGAUCGGGUGUCCACACUAAGUUCGGCAUCAAUAUGGUGACCUCCCGGGAGCGGGGGACUACCAUGUUGCCUAAGGAGGGGUGAACUGGCCCAGGUCGGAAACGGAGCAGGUCAAAACUCCCGUGCUGAUCUUUUCUGAUUGUAAAUUUGCUAUUAUUAUUUACUUGUUUUGAAUAUCUUGUUAUU